RNAcentral lists this ribosomal RNA (494 nucleotides) under uncultured bacterium. Its description in RNAcentral is "partial 16S ribosomal RNA". It matches the Rfam family "Bacterial small subunit ribosomal RNA", at positions 28 to 507 of the family's 1533-position model. The record is from RNAcentral.
GACGAACGCUGGCGGCGUGCUUAACACAUGCAAGUCGAACGGAAAGGCCUGCUUUCCCUUGUGGAUUGCGGGUACUCGAGUGGCGAACGGGUGAGUAACACGUGAGUGAUCUGCCCCCAACUUGGGUAUAAGCCUGGGAAACUGAGUCUAAUUCCCGAUAGGACUGCAGGGUGGUGCCUGUGGUGGAAAACGAUUUUCUAGUGGUUGGGGAUGAGCUCGCGGCCUAUCAGCUUGUUGGUGGGGUAAUGGCCUACCAAGGCGGCGACGGGUAGCCGGCCUGAGAGGGUGGACGGCCACAUUGGGACUGAGAUACGGCCCAGACUCCUACGGGAGGCAGCAGUGGGGAAUAUUGCACAAUGGGCGGAAGCCUGAUGCAGCGACGCCGCGUGGGGGAUGACGGCCUUCGGGUUGUAAACUCCUUUCGACCGCGAGGAAGCCACCUGGUUGGAAGGGUGGUGACGGUAGUGGUAGAAGAAGCACCGGCUAACUACGUG